This 335-nucleotide RNase P RNA is filed under the name bovine gut metagenome. RNAcentral's name for it is "Bacterial RNase P class A". It matches the Rfam family "Bacterial RNase P class A". From Rfam's summary of the family: Ribonuclease P (RNase P) is a ubiquitous endoribonuclease, found in archaea, bacteria and eukarya as well as chloroplasts and mitochondria. Its best characterised activity is the generation of mature 5'-ends of tRNAs by cleaving the 5'-leader elements of precursor-tRNAs. The record is from RNAcentral.
AGUAGAACAGAUGAUCGCGGCUGGAUUUAUUUCAGGUGAGGAAAGUCCGGGCUUCAUAGGGCAGGAUGCCGGAUAACGUCCGGUGGAGGUGACUCCAAGGCCAGUGCAACAGAAAGUAAACCGCUGAGUUAAUCAGUAAGGGUGAAAGGGCGGUGUAAGAGACCACCGCUGUUAUGGUAACAUAACAGGCAUUGUAAACCCCAUCCGAAGCAAGACCAAAUAGAAAACGAUUGGCUGCCCGUCAGGUUUUCGGGUUGGUUGCUUGAUUCUACUGGUAACAGUAGAACUAGAUAGAUGAUCAUCUAAUACAUAACCCGGCUUAUAGUUCUGCUCGA